UUAGGAAUUUUGCACAAUGGGCGAAAGCCUGAUGCAGCAACGCCGCGUGGGCGAUGAAGGUCUUCGGAUCGUAAAGCCCUUUUCUAGGGGAAGAGGCAGGACGGUACCCUAGGAAUAAGCCUCGGCUAACUACGUGCCAGCAGCCGCGGUAAUACGUAGGAGGCGAGCGUUGUCCGGAUUUAUUGGGCGUAAAGAGCGCGUAGGUGGCUUAGCAAGUUGGGUGUGAAAUCCCUUGGCUCAACUGAGGGGGGUCAUCCGAUACUGUUAGGCUUGAGGCAGGCAGAGGAAGGUAGAAUUCCCGGUGUAGUGGUGAAAUGCGUAGAUAUCGGGAGGAAUACCAGUGGCGAAGGCGGCCUUCUGGGCCUGUCCUGACGCUGAGGCGCGAAAGCGUGGGGAGCGAACCGG
RNAcentral lists this ribosomal RNA (405 nucleotides) under uncultured bacterium. RNAcentral describes it as "bacterial SSU rRNA". It matches the Rfam family "Bacterial small subunit ribosomal RNA", at positions 355 to 776 of the family's 1533-position model. The record is from RNAcentral.